Molecule: ribosomal RNA, 585 nt
Filed under: Streptomyces rubrogriseus
Lineage: Bacteria; Bacillati; Actinomycetota; Actinomycetes; Kitasatosporales; Streptomycetaceae
Description: partial 23S ribosomal RNA
Rfam family: Bacterial large subunit ribosomal RNA
Source: RNAcentral
GAGUGUAAGUGCACAAGGGAGCUUGACUGUGAGACCGACGGGUCGAGCAGGGACGAAAGUCGGGACUAGUGAUCCGGCGGUGGCUUGUGGAAGCGCCGUCGCUCAACGGAUAAAAGGUACCCCGGGGAUAACAGGCUGAUCUUCCCCAAGAGUCCAUAUCGACGGGAUGGUUUGGCACCUCGAUGUCGGCUCGUCGCAUCCUGGGGCUGGAGUCGGUCCCAAGGGUUGGGCUGUUCGCCCAUUAAAGCGGUACGCGAGCUGGGUUUAGAACGUCGUGAGACAGUUCGGUCCCUAUCCGCUGUGCGCGUAGGAGUCUUGAGAAGGGCUGUCCCUAGUACGAGAGGACCGGGACGGACGAACCUCUGGUGUGCCAGUUGUUCUGCCAAGGGCAUGGCUGGUUGGCUACGUUCGGGAGGGAUAACCGCUGAAAGCAUCUAAGCGGGAAGCCUGCUUCGAGAUGAGGACUCCCACCCCCUUGAGGGGUUAAGGCUCCCAGUAGACGACUGGGUUGAUAGGCCGGAUCUGGAAGCACCGUGAGGUGUGGAGGUGACCGGUACUAAUAGGCCGAGGGCUUGUCCUCAGUUG